GCGCGUUUCUCGGAGUUGAUGUCGGCGAUCUCGGACCGGCACCAGACUACGAAUCUGGGGGUCAGGAGUUCGAAUCUCUUCGGGCGCGCCA
RNAcentral lists this transfer RNA (91 nucleotides) under Nitrobacter vulgaris. RNAcentral's name for it is "tRNA-Arg". The record is from RNAcentral. Lineage: Bacteria; Pseudomonadati; Pseudomonadota; Alphaproteobacteria; Hyphomicrobiales; Nitrobacteraceae.